GUGAACUGAGCAAGUGAGGGAUCUAGGUUGCAUGCUUCUUAUGAGAAUCUAAUGCCUGAUGAUCUGUCACUGUCUCCUAUCUCAUCUAAUUGCAGGAAAACAAGCUCAGGGCUCCCACUGAUUGUACAUUAUGGUGAGACGUGGUCUUGUAACACAGUGGUUAAGAAUGUGACUUUGGAGCCAGCCUGCUAGGGGCUGAAUUCUGACUCAGCCAUUUACUAACUGUGUGACCUUAGGGAGGAGGACCUGGUUGAUAGAAGAAUUUAUCUCGUAGUCUUAACAUCCACUGUAAUUCCAAACUUUGAGGACGAUAGAGAUCAGUGGGCUUUGACUGCCCAGCAUGCAGUCUCCAUUCUUAGGUGGGUUCCCAAGCCUGUAAAAUGUAAGCCUUAUGCUGCUGAGGGCCAUCUUGCCACCCUGAGGGAAACGCUGCCUGAGAAUGAAACCAGCAUAAGUAAAAGCUGAGCUGUGAGAUGGAGCAAGAUGAAGGCCACAUGACAUCUUUGGAGCACCUGGAUCUAACUGUGCCUUAAGCUAGUCUAACCCUGAACAUUUCAUCAUUUCAUUGACAUGAGCCCAGGUUUUCUUUUUUUUUGGAUGGAGUCUUGCUCUGUCGCCCAGGCUGGAGUGCAGUAGCUCAAUCUCGGCUCACUGCAAGCUCC
RNAcentral lists this non-coding RNA (662 nucleotides) under Pan troglodytes (chimpanzee). The record is from RNAcentral. Lineage: Eukaryota; Metazoa; Chordata; Mammalia; Primates; Hominidae.